RNAcentral lists this ribosomal RNA (484 nucleotides) under uncultured bacterium. Its description in RNAcentral is "partial 16S ribosomal RNA". It matches the Rfam family "Bacterial small subunit ribosomal RNA", at positions 30 to 507 of the family's 1533-position model. The record is from RNAcentral.
AGUGAACGCUGGCGGCAGGCCUAACACAUGCAAGUCGAGCGGCAGCGCGGGGGCAACCCUGGCGGCGAGCGGCGGACGGGUGAGGAAUUCGUCGGAAUCUGCCUUUUUGUGGGGGAUAACGUAGGGAAACUUACGCUAAUACUGCAUACGUCCUACGGGAGCAAGUGGGGGACCGCAAGGCCUCACGCAGAAUGAUGAGCCGACGACCGAUUAGCUAGUUGGUGGGGUAAAGGCCCACCAAGGAGACGAUCGGUAGCUGGUCUGAGAGGAUGAUCAGCCACACGGGGACUGAGACACGGCCCAGACUCCUGCGGGAGGCAGCAGUGGGGAAUAUUAGACAAUGGGCGCAAGCCUGAUCCAGCCAUGCCGCGUGUGUGAAGAAGGCCUUCGGGUUGUAAAGCACUUUUGUCCGGAGAGAAAUCCCUGGAGCUAAUACCUUCGGGGGAUGACGGUACCGGGAGAAUAGGCACCGGCUAACUUCGUG